Molecule: long non-coding RNA, 347 nt
Filed under: Dermacentor andersoni
Lineage: Eukaryota; Metazoa; Arthropoda; Arachnida; Ixodida; Ixodidae
Description: uncharacterized LOC126535584
Source: RNAcentral
GGUGGGUCCGGCCAGUCUUUCAACUGCGUAAAGAAGAAGGACUUUACGGCUAUGCAACGGAUACGUCAGGAUGACCACGGAUUUUUCAACAAGUUCUUUCGCAAGGCGCCGCAGCUCUUGGACAAGCUAUUGAGCUUUUUAGCAGAUGACCUCACACGGCAGCACCACAUUCGAGAAACCCCUGGAGCCUGGAGAACGACUUGCUGUAGCAUUGAGGCAUGUACAGGCAUCUCUAGAUGCAUGCACAAACUCUACAUGCACAGGUGGUGAACUCAAAAAGGUUCAUUGCUGCAAGAAAGGCUGAAUGAGUAAACACAGAUGAAAGCGAUAAACAUCUGUCUUGCAAC